UACGUAGGGUGCAAGCGUUGUCCGGAAUUAUUGGGCGUAAAGAGCUCGUAGGCGGUUUGUCGCGUCUGCUGUGAAAAUCCAGGGCUUAACCCUGGACCCGCAGUGGGUACGGGCAGACUGGAGUGCGGUAGGGGAGAUCGGAAUUCCUGGUGUAGCGGUGAAAUGCGCAGAUAUCAGGAGGAACACCGGUGGCGAAGGCGGAUCUCUGGGCCGUAACUGACGCUGAGGAGCGAAAGCAUGGGGAGCGAACAGG
Molecule: ribosomal RNA, 253 nt
Filed under: uncultured bacterium
Lineage: Bacteria
Description: partial 16S ribosomal RNA
Rfam family: Bacterial small subunit ribosomal RNA
Source: RNAcentral